RNAcentral lists this ribosomal RNA (1372 nucleotides) under uncultured bacterium. Its description in RNAcentral is "bacterial SSU rRNA". It matches the Rfam family "Bacterial small subunit ribosomal RNA", at positions 28 to 1381 of the family's 1533-position model. The record is from RNAcentral.
GAUGAACGCUGGCGGCGUGCCUAAUACAUGCAAGUCGAGCGAACGGACGAGAAGCUUGCUUCUCUGAUGUUAGCGGCGGACGGGUGAGUAACACGUGGAUAACCUACCUAUAAGACUGGGAUAACUUCGGGAAACCGGAGCUAAUACCGGAUAAUAUUUUGAACCGCAUGGUUCAAAAGUGAAAGACGGUCUUGCUGUCACUUAUAGAUGGAUCCGCGCUGCAUUAGCUAGUUGGUAAGGUAACGGCUUACCAAGGCAACGAUGCAUAGCCGACCUGAGAGGGUGAUCGGCCACACUGGAACUGAGACACGGUCCAGACUCCUACGGGAGGCAGCAGUAGGGAAUCUUCCGCAAUGGGCGAAAGCCUGACGGAGCAACGCCGCGUGAGUGAUGAAGGUCUUCGGAUCGUAAAACUCUGUUAUUAGGGAAGAACAUAUGUGUAAGUAACUGUGCACAUCUUGACGGUACCUAAUCAGAAAGCCACGGCUAACUACGUGCCAGCAGCCGCGGUAAUACGUAGGUGGCAAGCGUUAUCCGGAAUUAUUGGGCGUAAAGCGCGCGUAGGCGGUUUUUUAAGUCUGAUGUGAAAGCCCACGGCUCAACCGUGGAGGGUCAUUGGAAACUGGAAAACUUGAGUGCAGAAGAGGAAAGUGGAAUUCCAUGUGUAGCGGUGAAAUGCGCAGAGAUAUGGAGGAACACCAGUGGCGAAGGCGACUUUCUGGUCUGUAACUGACGCUGAUGUGCGAAAGCGUGGGGAUCAAACAGGAUUAGAUACCCUGGUAGUCCACGCCGUAAACGAUGAGUGCUAAGUGUUAGGGGGUUUCCGCCCCUUAGUGCUGCAGCUAACGCAUUAAGCACUCCGCCUGGGGAGUACGACCGCAAGGUUGAAACUCAAAGGAAUUGACGGGGACCCGCACAAGCGGUGGAGCAUGUGGUUUAAUUCGAAGCAACGCGAAGAACCUUACCAAAUCCUGACAUCCUUUGACAACUCUAGAGAUAGAGCCUUCCCCUUCGGGGGACAAAGUGACAGGUGGUGCAUGGUUGUCGUCAGCUCGUGUCGUGAGAUGUUGGGUUAAGUCCCGCAACGAGCGCAACCCUUAAGCUUAGUUGCCAUCAUUAAGUUGGGCACUCUAAGUUGACUGCCGGUGACAAACCGGAGGAAGGUGGGGAUGACGUCAAAUCAUCAUGCCCCUUAUGAUUUGGGCUACACACGUGCUACAAUGGACAAUACAAAGGGCAGCGAAACCGCGAGGUCAAGCAAAUCCCAUAAAGUUGUUCUCAGUUCGGAUUGUAGUCUGCAACUCGACUACAUGAAGCUGGAAUCGCUAGUAAUCGUAGAUCAGCAUGCUACGGUGAAUACGUUCCCGGGUCU